UGGGGAAUAUUGGACAAUGGGCGGAAGCCUGGUCCAGCAACGCCGCGUGAGGGAUGACGGCCUUCGGGUUGUAAACCUCUUUCACCAUUGACGAAGCUGCAUCUUUUGGUGUGGUGACGGUAGGUGGGGAAGAAGCACCGGCCAACUACGUGCCAGCAGCCGCGGUAAUACGUAGGGUGCGAGCGUUGUCCGGAAUUAUUGGGCGUAAAGGGCUCGUAGGCGGUUUGUCGCGUCGGGAGUGAAAAACAUCCGGCUUAACUGGGUGCUUGCUUUCGAUACGGGCAGACUAGAGGUAUGCAGGGGAGAACGGAAUUCCUGGUGUAGCGGUGAAAAUGCGCAGAUAUCAGGAGGAACACCGGUGGCGAAGGCGGUUCUCUGGGCAUGAUCUGACGCUGAGGAGCGAAAAGUGUGGGAGCGAACA
This 421-nucleotide ribosomal RNA is filed under the name uncultured Nocardioides sp. RNAcentral's name for it is "bacterial SSU rRNA". It matches the Rfam family "Bacterial small subunit ribosomal RNA", at positions 355 to 774 of the family's 1533-position model. The record is from RNAcentral. Lineage: Bacteria; Bacillati; Actinomycetota; Actinomycetes; Propionibacteriales; Nocardioidaceae.